GAUGAAGAACGUAGCGAAAUGCGAUAAGUAAUGUGAAUUGCAGAAUUCAGUGAAUCAUCGAAUCUUUGAACGCACCUUGCGCCCUUUGGCCAUUCCGAAGGGCAUGCCUGUUUGAGUAUCAUGAACACCUCAACUCUUUAUGGUUUUCCAUGAUGAGCUUGGACUCUGGGGGUUUUGCUGGCUCACAGUCGGCUCCUCUAAAAUGAAUCAGCUUACCAGUGUUUGGUGGGUAUCAUGGGUGUGAUAACUAUCUACGCUUGUGGUUUUUCCACCAGGUAACCUUCAGCAGUGGAGGUUCGCUGGAGCUCAUCGAUGUCUCUCCUCAGUGAGGACAGCCAUUUGAAUGUUUGAUCUCAAAUCAGGUAGGACUACCCGCUGAACUUAAGCAUAUCAAUAAGCGGAGGA
This 405-nucleotide unclassified non-coding RNA is filed under the name soil metagenome. RNAcentral describes it as "partial contains 5.8S ribosomal RNA, internal transcribed spacer 2, and large subunit ribosomal RNA". The stretch from base 1 to 121 matches the Rfam family "5.8S ribosomal RNA", at positions 35 to 154 of the family's 154-position model. The record is from RNAcentral.